Small nuclear RNA from Sceloporus undulatus (fence lizard), 102 nucleotides. The record is from RefSeq and is a predicted model, not a curated record. NCBI's taxonomy places the organism in Eukaryota, Metazoa, Chordata, Lepidosauria, Squamata, Phrynosomatidae.
GUGCUCGCUUCGGCAGCACAUAUACUAAAAUUGGAACGAUACAGAGAAGAUUAGCAUGGCCCCUGCGCAAGGUUGUAGUUAUUACUAGAGUUGAUUCUUUCU